UCAUAUAUUUGCAAACAUUUUCCAAGUCAUCAGUAUAAAUAAAAAUAAAAAAUAAAAAAACGUAACAUUUCUGUUAAUGAUUCAUUUGGUUCCAAUUACCUUUUUGUUCAUUGUUUGCUCUGAGGCACCGUUGCCAAUAAAGGUUGGUGAAUUGAAGUACCGGUAGGCACUUUACACAUCCACUGAAGAAAAUAGUUCCAAAACAUAUUUGAAUAAGGAGGACAACGAAAUGUAUUUAUUUACAUUGAGAACUUUUGCUACAUCGGUUUUACAUUUGUUAAACCGAUGUAGCACUCUCAAAAAUUAAUCUUGUGUUUCUUGGAAAACGUAAAAUGACCCGCGGAUGGAUAUGCGGUUUCAAAAUCAAGCCUGUUCUCUUCAUCAGUCCGUUGGCGCGGAGUCUGCCUGUUGGCUGAUCUACGAAAGAAUCUGGGUUUUGUCGCCUCAUUCGAGAACUCACCAGUGAAUACCUGCGUGCUCGCUCCGCCGAUUCCACUGCCUCCACUCCACCCUUCGAGCUUCCAGCUCUCUUCCAUUCCCACCUCGCAUUUACCUUCGGAACCGCUGCACACCCUCUCUCAGGAACCUGGCAUCUCACACCCACGCCUCGAAAGACCCGCACCGAAGCUUCAAGAGGAUCAGCGUGUGAAGAUCACUUUAUAAUGAUUUGAAAAAGGUUGCCAUGGCUACAGAAAUUGGAGGAGCAUCCUUAGAUGACACAAUACAACCAGCUGUGCGAUUCCUCAUGUCCCAUGAACUGGAAGUCCAGUUCAACCUUUUUGGCCAACAUUGGAAACAAGCUCUUGGACCUGCGUCUCUUUGAUGUUUUGUAUGGGGACUUAAAAGAAAUUAUCCAUCUACAGAAUCACACAAGCAUACAGCAAAGACUCUCGAAGUGGUUUACUGGAGCCCGAGUGGAAGUGGAAAUAGACUAGAGAGACUGCCAGUUCAAACUCAGGUUGGGGAGGUCUUUCAAGAUGGACAGUUUCAGUAAAGUAUGAGAGAUUUCAAAUUUAAGCAUGCAUAUGGCAUGUAGGUUAUUUUUAAAAAUGUUUAACAAAAAUGUAUUGUGAAAGAUCUAUAUAGGUGUGUAUAUUCACAUUGUGUGUAUCAAUGUGAAUAUACGUGUAUAAAGUUAUAUAGAUAGUAUUUAGAUGUAUACAUUUAUAGACCUGUAGGAAAAUAUGUAGGUGUCUUUAUUUGUGUGCAUCUAUAGAUAUAUAUUUAUAGAUCUGUUUAUAAGUUUGUUAUAGUAAA
This is a long non-coding RNA of Poeciliopsis prolifica (blackstripe livebearer), 1257 nucleotides long. RefSeq lists it as uncharacterized. The record is from RefSeq and is a predicted model, not a curated record. The transcript has 5 exons. NCBI's taxonomy places the organism in Eukaryota, Metazoa, Chordata, Actinopteri, Cyprinodontiformes, Poeciliidae.